AGAGUUUGAUCCUGGCUCAGGAUGAACGCUGGCGGCGUGCCUAAUACAUGCAAGUCGAGCGAACGGACGAGAAGCUUGCUUCUCUGAUGUUAGCGGCGGACGGGUGAGUAACACGUGGAUAACCUACCUAUAAGACUGGGAUAACUUCGGGAAACCGGAGCUAAUACCGGAUAAUAUUUUGAACCGCAUGGUUCAAAAGUAAAAGACGGUCUUGCUGUCACUUAUAGAUGGAUCCGCGCUGCAUUAGCUAGUUGGUAAGGUAACGGCUUACCAAGGCAACGAUGCAUAGCCGACCUGAGAGGGUGAUCGGCCACACUGGAACUGAGACACGGUCCAGACUCCUACGGGAGGCAGCAGUAGGGAAUCUUCCGCAAUGGGCGAAAGCCUGACGGAGCAACGCCGCGUGAGUGAUGAAGGUCUUCGGAUCGUAAAACUCUGUUAUUAGGGAAGAACAUAUGUGUAAGUAACUGUGCACAUCUUGACGGUACCUAAUCAGAAAGCCACGGCUAACUACGUGCCAGCAGCCGCGGUAAUACGUAGGUGGCAAGCGUUAUCCGGAAUUAUUGGGCGUAAAGCGCGCGUAGGCGGUUUUUUAAGUCUGAUGUGAAAGCCCACGGCUCAACCGUGGAGGGUCAUUGGAAACUGGAAAACUUGAGUGCAGAAGAGGAAAGUGGAAUUCCAUGUGUAGCGGUGAAAUGCGCAGAGAUAUGGAGGAACACCAGUGGCGAAAGCGACUUUCUGGUCUGUAACUGACGCUGAUGUGCGAAAGCGUGGGGAUCAAACAGGAUUAGAUACU
Molecule: ribosomal RNA, 796 nt
Filed under: uncultured soil bacterium
Lineage: Bacteria
Description: bacterial SSU rRNA
Rfam family: Bacterial small subunit ribosomal RNA
Source: RNAcentral